RNAcentral lists this long non-coding RNA (3978 nucleotides) under Sus scrofa (pig). Its description in RNAcentral is "lncRNA (ENSSSCG00040059180.1)". The record is from RNAcentral. Lineage: Eukaryota; Metazoa; Chordata; Mammalia; Artiodactyla; Suidae.
UUUUUUUUUUUUUUUUUUUUUUUUUUGCUGCACCCGCAGCAUGUAGAAGUUCCUAGGGUGGGGAAUGAACUUGUGUCACAAUAGUGACAACACCAAAUCCUUAACCCACUGAGCCACCAAGGACCACCUUUGUUGUUUUUUAAAGCCACUAAGUUUGUGGGCAAUUUUUAAAGCAGCCUCAGGAACCUAAUACAGAGAGUCAUUUUUAUCCCUGUUAUAAAGACAAGGAAAUUGAAGUUGAGAGAGGAAGGGGUUUUUUUCCAAGGUACGCAGCUAUUCAUCAGCAGAGAUGAGAUUCAGAUCCAGGCCCAUCUUAUUCCCAAGGCUUUCUGCCCUCUGUGAUGCCCUGCUUCUCCCACAGGCAGCCUCCCUAGAGAGAUACCUCCCGAGGUUGAGUGGAAGCUCUGAUGCAUGCGUAUGCCCAGGCUCUACCUGCAGAGAUGCCCACUCACUGGACCAGAGGAAGGGCCAUGGCAUCUAUCUUUUCUGAUAAACACUACAGAUGGUUGUGUUGCACAGUGUGGUUGAGGACAAUGGCAUUGAAGGAUGGGGUUUUCACUCUCACAGUCCUGCAUGUGUGCCCCCUCCAAAACACAGAUCAUGUAACACAGAAGGCAAAAUCAGAAGAAUGAACCAGGAGUUCCCAUCAUGGCUCAGCGGUUAGCGAACCCGCCUAGUAUCCAUGAGGACACAGGUUUGAUCCCUGGCCCAGCUCAGUGGGUUAAGGAUCCGGUGUUGCCAUGAGCUGUGGUGUAGGUCGCAGAUGUGGCUCGGAUCCCCCACGGUUAUGGCUGAGGCAGGCAACUACAGCUCUAACUGGACCCCGAGCCUGGGAACCUCCAUAUGCUGUAGGUCUGGCCCUAAAAAAGCCAAAAAAAAAAGAAGAAGAAGAAGAGGAGGAGAAGGAAUCAAACCCCAACUUAAAAGCUGGGCUCUCCAUGUAUUCCGCGGGCAUCGCCCGCAUGCUACACCCUAAGGGAGUGGAAACAAAUACAUGGGCUGGUUCUAAAGCAAAGCCAUUCCGACUCCCCAUUGGGUUUGUUAAAUCAUUUAUAAUUCCAAGAAGCUGAAGUAAAUAUUUAGCAUUUGAUUCCUAAUCCAUAAAUAUUUACACGUAGGGAUUUCCUCAUGUUUGACAAGCCCACCAGAGGUUCUGCAGUCUUAGCGAGUGUGACAAAUGAAACCUUGUGAUCCCUCAUCCCUCAGCGAGGAACAUGUGGCCACUCGUGCAAGAGUCCUGAUGCAGGGAACAGUCUGUGCGUGCCCAGGGGUGCAGCCAGGAUGGCUGAGAACUGCCAAGGGAUUCAACUUGGAACAGCCAAUUUGGAGAAGCAGAGGAAACAGAGACCGCCCCCCACCCCCCAAAAAAAAGAGAGAGAGAAAACUGAUGCUGCUCGCUCCUCUAGUAAGUACUUUCAAAGGUUCCUGUGGUAUUUUCCACUUAGGAACUUUAUGAUAAUUAUCAUUUAAAAGUGGGCUUCCAAAGUGAAAAUAGUGACAUAUUUGCACUAGAAAAUUCACCAAGAAACUCUUUUUGAAUCUUCCUUUAAGAAUCUUAGAGUAACUGCAGUGAAGUUGGCAGAGUCCCUCAAUCCAUCUAACCCACGCCGUUGAGAAGUGCGUGUGUAUAAAACUUUAGGAGUUCCCAUUGUGGCUCAGUGGGUUACAAACCCAACUAGUAUCCAUGAGGAUGCGGGUUCGAUCCCUGGCCUUGCUCAGCGGCUUAAGGAUCCGGCAUUGCUAUGGCUGCGGCAUAGGCUGGCAGCUGCAGCUUGGAUUUGACCUCUAGCCUGGGCACUUCCAUAUGCGACGGGUAUGGCUCUAAAAAGCAAAAAAACAAAAACGCUUUAUUAAGUCUACUUACUUUAUUAAAUGUGUGGCAUCCUGCUAGGAGGUGACAAGUAAUAAGACAAGAGAUUUCUAAAACGUAUGGUUAUCAAAGGGAAAUGUGGGGGCAAGAGAUAAAUUGGGAGGUUGGGAUUAAUAUACAUACUGUACUAUAUUUAAAAUAGGUAACCAGCAAGGACCACUGUACAGCACAGGGAACUGUAUUCAAUGUUAUUAAUAACUUACAUGGGAAAAGAAUCUGAAAAAGAAUCAAUUAAUGUAUAGGUAUAACAGUUUCACUUUGCUGGACACCUGAAACACAUUGUAAAUCAACUAUGCUCCGUAAAAUAAAAAUAAACAUUAAUAAAUUAAAUGAAAAGAAAAAAGAAAAAGACCAGGUUCCUCUCUUGAGAAGUUCUUACUCUCUUCCUAAAUGACUCGCCAUAAAAAAAAAUGAGUCACUUCUGACUCAUUUCUGACGUACCUACUAUGUGCCAAGCCCUCUGUUAUGGUCUAUACCCAGUCUCUAAUUCAAAAAUCCCUCUUUUCUGGGUGAGUAAAGAGGCUCUGCCAGCUAAUGGCUUGCCCAAAGUUUUAUUUCUCAUAUACUGUGGAGCCGGCUUUCAAACAAAGGAUCAGUCAAGGGCCAAUCAGACAAGCCGAGCCUUUGCCAGCUCUUCAAAGAGGGAAUUUAAUGUGGGGAACCCUGACAAUGGUGUUGGAAAAGCUGAAAAGCCAGGGAAAAAAGGAAGUGAUUCAGGGAUUAGCCAGAGCAGGAAGCUGCAACAGGCCCUAGGAUUAGAUCCACAAAAAAGGGGAGGUGCUGUGACCAGAACACAGGAGAUGGAGUCAGCGAGAGGGGGCUGGCACUGUGGCAGGGCUGCCCUGGAGCCCUGCAGACAUCCAGAGAGGCGCUGCUGUCCACAGCAGGACUGGGUCCACAGAGCAGAUGAGGCUGGCCAGAAUCACAAUCAGAAGCAGAGUGAGCAGAAGUGUCCCAACCUCACUCUCUGUCCACCCCCCCCAUCUCCCUCCAGCCCUCCCACUGGCUGAGCCAGCCAGAAACCCCAGUGUCUGGCGAGCUUAGGCAAACGGAGUUUGCAAAGUCAGCUCCUUGGGAUACACAGAAAUCUCUGCCAUGCACAGGUAGAGAAUGAAUCCGAGAGCAAACAGGCAAAUGAUCGGGAUACCAAGACCUGGCUUAUUUCUCAGCCCUUGAUCGGGCGGACGGAAGAACACUAAACUGUCAGAAGAAACUGGGAUGCGGUCUUGAAGAUGCCGUUGUUCGCCAUAUGACCACGAGCAAGCCACACAAGCCCUGUACCUCCGAUGUGGAGGAACACCCUGGACUUGUUAUGCCUGGCCCCGCCCACCCACAGAACUGACCUGAGGGCCAUGCAGGACGGCGCGGGCGGUGAUGCUUUACCCACUGUGAGGCCCAGGUGUGCUUCCAUUUACUUUGAACCUCGUGGGCAGAUUUCCUUUCAGCUAACAAUAUCGUAUGUCCAAACUCAGCCCCCCCCUCCUCCCUUCCUCCGGGAUAUUCCCAUCAGCCACCCCUCACCCUGAGAUGCCCUUUGCUCCGCCCCAGCUACCUUGCUCAGCUCUGUUCUUUCCAAGGAUAUUUUCCAGGGGCUUGAGAGAGGAGGAGGAUUUCGCAUUAGGAAGUGCCUGGCUGGUGGAGGAGAGGAAGGUUAAGGACAGAUGAGGAUGCUGCCUGGUAAUCCUCUCUAACUCAUGUAUGGCAGAGGUAGCAGACAAUCAUUUCUUGUGACUGAGACAAGAUCAAAGGAUUAAGAGGUUUUCGGUAAAGAAGGGCUGGCGUUCGGUCAUGAGAAUUAUAACAGUCAGGCUGCUGAAAAGAACAGCUUUGCUGGGUGAGAGUCUGAGAAUACAGCCUAGGAUCCUCAUGGAAAGCUUGUGUUCUUUCAGGGAGAAAGGCCAGAGUGCACCUGCCAGGAAAGCUACCAUCACGUCCCAGAGCUAUAGACGAGCCUGUCUGCAAACCCGCCUGCUGCUCUGGGAGGUGGGGGGGGUAACUAUCUGAGCCUUUGAGAUGUUCUUCUGAAAGUGACAGCAUCACCCACUGUCUAUCAAACCCUGAGCCCAGGCACACUGCUCUGUUCCCCAUCUCACACUGGUCCUCAAAAG